Molecule: long non-coding RNA, 1409 nt
Organism: Mus musculus (house mouse)
Lineage: Eukaryota; Metazoa; Chordata; Mammalia; Rodentia; Muridae
Product: predicted gene, 30896
Exons: 2
Source: RefSeq, a predicted model, not a curated record
CCAUCUCUACCCAUCUUUAAAGGAACUUCACUGUGCUACUACUCUCUGUGGCAGCUGCUGAAGGGAAGACAUCUUCCAUUAACAGAGGUAAGGGAAAGGUUAGUUCUUAUAGUUUCACUAAAUAAAAUAAGCUAUAAAACAGAGCACCUAGGUGCUGGGGAGAUGGUGCAGUGCUUGGGAGCACUUGCCUCUCUUGCAGAAGACCCUAUUUCCGGCCACCACACGGCAGUUCACAAUCAUCUGAUUGCAGUUCCAGGAGGUUGCUGUCUUCCUCUGGACUCCUCAAGCACCAGGCAUGCAUGCAUUUGGAGAACAUAUAUGCAUGCCAGUAAAUACCCAUACACAUUUAAAAAUAAAAAUCAGAAAUAAGCAUCCUAGGUCUGGCCAUUCUAAAUGGCUCGACAUUCUACAGUUCCAGCUUUUGCCAUAGUCUAUUUAAAUUUUGAGUCCUUGAAUGGAUUAAAGCAUUCAUUGAGAGCCCCCAUAAUCAAUUAUUCAGUGCCAAUACCCACACAGACGUGCUCAGAGAUGUGCUUUACUGAGUUCUUAAAUAUUUCUCACUCUGAGCAAGUUGACAAGAUUAUUAUAGACAGGAAUGAGGGGAAGUUGACUUUCACAGAAUACAAUAGGGUCUACCUGACCAUGUGCAUUAGACCCCCGCUUUCCAACACGGUUGAAUUUAGUAUCAAGUUUCCAAUAACUUUGGGGACACGUUCAAACCAUAGCAUUUCCUCUGGAGAUGCUGGAUCCCCGUCUUCUCCCUCCACAAGGAAUGUCUCUUCUGUCCUAGGUUGCAGCUCCAGAUGUGGUACACAGUGAACAUCUACCAAGGCAUUUCAAGGUUCCAGGACCUAGAACAAAGACAUUGUCCAUAGAGAUCAAGCAAACAUGGAAUUUUCCCGUGGAUUCUAACAGACGACGAUGUUUCUGUCUUCUUGAGUGAGCAUCAAAGAACAGAAACUUCCCUUACUUGCUAAUAGAUAGACCCUCCAGAAUUCCAGAAUCUCCCAGAGCCUACAACCUGUUAGACAUUUCAGUUCCCGUACAGCAUGUUCCUGAUUUAUAAGUUUUACUCCUUGGCAGUCUUAUCGCCAUUAACAACUCACCCUUAACCACUUGGAGUCACUCUUCAGUGGUCAUCAUUGGCAUCACUCUAGCAACACAAACUAUGUCUACAGGCAAAAUUCUAACACUGAAUUGAUGAGAUUGCUGUUUUAGUCACAAUAGCCAGGAAAUAGAACCAGCUGAGGUGUCCAUCAACUGAAGAACAGGUACAUAAAAUGUGGUACAUAUACAUAAUGGGAUUUUAUGCAAUUACAAGAAGGACUUGAAGCAUGACAUUGGUAAGAAAAUGGACAGACAUAAAAAUCAUUGUAUUAAGUGAAUUAAAGCAGAUUAAGAAAAGCAAA